AUGAAGAGCACGGAGAAGUGCGUCAGCAACGGCAAGCCGGACAACGGGUACCUGAACUGGCGGUGGCAGCAGGCGGGCUGUAACCUCUCCGAGCUCGACCCGGCAGAGUUCCUCCGGGCAGUCCGGGGCAAGCUCCUGGCUUUCGUCGGCGACUCCACGGCGCGCAACCAGGCGGAGUCCCUCGUCUGCUUCCUCUCCACCGUGUCGCGGCCGGAGACGACGCACCGGUACGAGGAGCCCGUGGGCCACGAGUUCUGGCGGUGGGUCUUCCCGGCGCCGCACAACGUCACCAUCUCCACGUACUGGUCGCCGUUCCUCGUGCGCGCCGAGGGCAGGUCGGUGGACUACGCCAUGACGCAGGAGACGCUGUUCCUGGACGCGCUCACCGAGCCGUGGACGGCGGACGUGGACGCGAUGGACGUCAUGGUGAUCUCGGCGGGGCACUGGUUCAACCACCCGGCCGUCUACUACGACGACGGGCAGAUCGCCGGCGUGUUUUCCCGUCCGGACGUAAACGAGACCGACAUCGGCGGCGGCUACGUCGGCGUGUACCGCAAGGUGAUCCGGAGGGUACUUGAGUACGUCAACGAAAAGUCGAGCGGCGACAAGCUGGUGGUGGUGUCAACCAUCGCGCCGGCGCACUUCGACGCCAGGUACGCCUGGAAUCACCGGGAUGCGUGCUCGCGGCCGAAUCCGUAUGAUGAGGGAGAGGUGCCCGAGGAUGCGAACACGGCCGAGAUGAGGAAGGCCGUGCUGGAGGAGGGGGCGGCGGCAAAAAGGCAGCGACGGGGGCUGCGGUUCGAUGUGCUGGACGUGACGAGGCUGGCGUCCAUGCGGCCCGAUGGGCACCCAGGCGCCUACAUCGUGAAGGACAGGUACUGUGCCGGAAAGCCCAUGCCGGAGACGGUUAACAACGACUGCCUGCACUGGUGCGCGCCGGGGCCGGUGGACACGUUCAACGACAUACUGGUGCAGAUGGUGGCCGCAAGCGGCUGA
This 996-nucleotide ribosomal RNA is filed under the name Triticum aestivum (bread wheat). RNAcentral's name for it is "partial small subunit ribosomal RNA". The record is from RNAcentral. Lineage: Eukaryota; Viridiplantae; Streptophyta; Magnoliopsida; Poales; Poaceae.